UGGGACUAUGCCAGUUUAUAACCAAAUGACCUCAUCUAGUCUGAAGGGGUCCAGAAGGCUUACCUGAGGAAGUAUUGUCUCAGCUGAGACAGAGAGGAAUGGAUUCCAGGGACCUGGCAGGCAAAGAGGAAAGGGGGCCUGGCUAGGGACUGUGGCUGUGGGGAACAUGUGGAGUGCCAACCAGCAGUUUGGCUGAAGUGUGCCUCCAGCUCACGGCUGUCUUGCAAGAAUGCAAGAAUGAGGGUCUGUGUGGCCAAUUUCUGGCUUCUCAAAAGGAACCAGAAGUCUGGGUUUUUAUGUGAGAUCUCUCAAGCGUAGCCAGCGGGCACCCAGUGGUGAGGCAGGAGGGGAACAAG
Molecule: long non-coding RNA, 356 nt
Filed under: Homo sapiens (human)
Lineage: Eukaryota; Metazoa; Chordata; Mammalia; Primates; Hominidae
Description: HSALNT0232661
Source: RNAcentral